RNAcentral lists this ribosomal RNA (253 nucleotides) under uncultured bacterium. RNAcentral describes it as "partial 16S ribosomal RNA". It matches the Rfam family "Bacterial small subunit ribosomal RNA", at positions 524 to 776 of the family's 1533-position model. The record is from RNAcentral.
UACGUAGGGAGCGAGCGUUGUCCGGAAUUACUGGGCGUAAAGGGCGCGUAGGUGGGCAUUUAAGUCAGAUGUGAAAACUAUGGGCUCAACCUGUAGACUGCAUUUGAAACUGGGUAUCUUGAGGGCUGGAGAGGAAAGUGGAAUUCCUAGUGUAGCGGUGAAAUGCGUAGAUAUUAGGAGGAACACCAGUGGCGAAGGCGACUUUCUGGACUGUACCUGACACUGAGGCGCGAAAGCGUGGGGAGCGAACGGG